UCAAAAUAGUGUCUUACAUUGUCUUUAAAAGAAAGAGCACCCUCUUCGAUUUCCAUUAUCCAAAACCAAGAUGUUUUCUUCCUAAAACAAACUACUGACAAUGAAAACAUUGUCUCAAUUAUGUUUGUACGGCUCACAACACUAUUUGUCGGUUGCAACGAGGGCCCCAUUCCUUUAUGAUAUUGCAUUAGCAGCCUGUUGAUAUGAAAUAAAACUCCAUGAUUAUCCGAAAAAAAUAAUGUUCAUGCAAAUGCCAUCUCGUGAAAGCACGUAUAGAAUAUCCAAACCAAGCUACCUCGGAGACUUCCUCUUGACGACUCGCGCAAAAGACGCCUCAGAGUUAAGGGCCCCUCGUGCACAUCUCGUAUUUUGGCGAAAAAUCUCGUAGACCCCGCCGCAAAGUCCGACCGCAAGCGCGCGAGCAAGCAAAGCCAAAGCCGAAGCCGGUGGACGGUGGUGACCGUCCCAGAGACGGCAGGCGGCAGCAAGACGAGGCCACAGCUGCGCGCGAG
This 512-nucleotide long non-coding RNA is filed under the name Triticum aestivum (bread wheat). RNAcentral's name for it is "long non-coding RNA (TAES_LNC025424)". Lineage: Eukaryota; Viridiplantae; Streptophyta; Magnoliopsida; Poales; Poaceae. The record is from RNAcentral.